UCUGAAUCUGCGUACGGCUCCGCAAACCAGUUGUAAACUAUAGCAAGCAAGCCCGGGAUCGGCCUUCACGGGCUGGUUCCGGGUGAUAUGGAUAACCCUGGUAAUUCUGAGGCUAAUACAUGACCGUAAAACCUAGCUGACCGGCUUCGGCUGGGAUGCUGGGGGACGUGUGAUUUGGGCUUGGUAACACCGGGAAGGGGCGCACGUCUAGACCACGCUAUAAAGGUCGGUUUGGACUUCGGGGGGGGCUGUCCCAGUGGCUCUUGCUGUGUGCUUCUGACCUAUCAACUAGACGGCAGCGUAAGGGACAUGCUAUGGU
Molecule: ribosomal RNA, 319 nt
Filed under: Lamproderma ovoideum
Lineage: Eukaryota; Evosea; Eumycetozoa; Stemonitida; Stemonitidae
Description: bacterial SSU rRNA
Rfam family: Eukaryotic small subunit ribosomal RNA
Source: RNAcentral